This 265-nucleotide ribosomal RNA is filed under the name uncultured prokaryote. RNAcentral describes it as "partial 16S ribosomal RNA". It matches the Rfam family "Bacterial small subunit ribosomal RNA", at positions 524 to 788 of the family's 1533-position model. The record is from RNAcentral.
UACGUAGGGUGCGAGCGUUGUCCGGAAUUAUCGGGCGUAAAGAGCUUGUAGGCGGUUUGUCGCGUCUGCUGUGAAAAUCCGGGGCUCAACCCCGGACUUGCAGUGGGUACGGGCAGACUAGAGUGUGGUAGGGGAGACUGGAAUUCCUGGUGUAGCGGUGAAAUGCGCAGAUAUCAGGAGGAACACCGAUGGCGAAGGCAGGUCUCUGGGCCACUACUGACGCUGAGAAGCGAAAGCAUGGGGAGCGAACAGGAUUAGAUACCCG